ACGAGAAGACCCCAUGGAGCUUUAAACCUGACAGCACCCGCUCAUUCUAUACCCCAUUAUUUGCCCGACCCCUGUCUGCUCAGUUUUAGGUUGGGGUGACCACGGAGUAUAAAAUAACCUCCAUGAAGAAGGGGAUAUUUCCCUUAUUAGAGAACCACACUUCCAAGAACUAAUAAAUUAAUUUUCAAUGACCCGAUACCUGAUAAUCGAUCAACGAACCAAGUUACCCUGGGGAUAACAGCGCAAUCCACCCUGAAAGCCCUUAUUAACAGGUGGGUUUACGACCUCGAUGUUGGAUCAGGGUAUCCCAGUGGUGCAGCAGCUACUGAGGGUUCGUUUGUUCAACGAUUAAAACCCU
This 358-nucleotide ribosomal RNA is filed under the name Boophis quasiboehmei. RNAcentral describes it as "partial 16S ribosomal RNA". It matches the Rfam family "Bacterial large subunit ribosomal RNA", at positions 2080 to 2597 of the family's 2925-position model. Lineage: Eukaryota; Metazoa; Chordata; Amphibia; Anura; Mantellidae. The record is from RNAcentral.